This is a long non-coding RNA of Zalophus californianus (California sea lion), 848 nucleotides long. RefSeq lists it as uncharacterized. NCBI's taxonomy places the organism in Eukaryota, Metazoa, Chordata, Mammalia, Carnivora, Otariidae. The record is from RefSeq and is a predicted model, not a curated record. The transcript is spliced from 3 exons.
UUCAGCUGACCUAGUAUGGUCGACUGCUAGAGUGAACCAGACCUUCAUCCCUUCAGGGAUCUACAGUCUUGGUUACUUUGCCUUUUUUUAGGCUAUGAUUAUCACAAUUGUUUGUUUGCUGUUUUCAUCAGCCUUGGAAACAUCAAGACAUGCCCCCAGUGAAUCACCUGAGUUCCAGACACAUCCUCACUGUUUUAUUUUGUAGUCACAUUCCUAGCUCCUCAUGUUAACCAACAUAUUAAUUCCCCUUUCUUGCCUGUUGUCCCACAGACAUGAGCAGCCCAACAGGACCAGUUGGCAGCUGUAGCUUCAGUUUUGUGGAGUCCUUACAGUGCUUCCUGGUGGAAGUGUGCGAGCUUCUUCCCUUUACUCCGUCAGGAUACAGGACCUCCAAUCCAGCAAAGCCUAGGUGGUAGGAAUGGGAAACACAUUCUACAAGUAACUCACUGGGAAUGGUGAGCCACCCAAGAUUGACAUAGAGGAUGACAGAUCACAUAGGAGAGAGAGGCCAUGCUGUUCCAUCUGUUUCAGCUACCCGACAUAGAUUCAACUUCAGCUAAAGACCCUGAAGAAACAGUGCCUCCUUCCAAAGAACUGAAGAGUCGAGAAGCUUCUAGGUUCAACUGGCCAGUGUCUAAACUGACAACCUGUUCUUCAGCCUGAGGGAUGAUAAAACUUCACGGACUGGGAGAGAAUUCCACGUCAAGAAUGUCUGCUUCUGAGAGUUAGCUCUGAUUGCCCUCAUCCCCAUUAACAAAAACAGAUGUGUGCUCAUGAGCAGAGUAAACAUUCAAGGUCAAUAUAUGUUCCUCUCUGCCAAUCUAGUUUGGCACUUCAAUAUGAGCAAA